GGCCAAAAAUAUUGACUAUUUUUAAUCAUUGUUAUUCUCAGCUUCUGCCUCCCAACCAGUCCCAACCGACUCCAGGGGAACCUUCUCUCAUUCUGCAGGAACCUUUACAUCUGCAGGUCUGAUGCCAUCAUCCAUGCUGGGCCUCAUGAGUGACAUCAUCCAUGCUGGACCUUUUGGUAGCUGCAGAGCUGGAGAGGAGAAGAUAAGCUGUGAAUACCAUCAAAACUGAUAUGAAGC
Molecule: long non-coding RNA, 237 nt
Organism: Peromyscus leucopus (white-footed mouse)
Lineage: Eukaryota; Metazoa; Chordata; Mammalia; Rodentia; Cricetidae
Exons: 3
Source: RefSeq, a predicted model, not a curated record